Molecule: non-coding RNA, 6352 nt
Organism: Dermacentor andersoni
Lineage: Eukaryota; Metazoa; Arthropoda; Arachnida; Ixodida; Ixodidae
Source: RefSeq, a predicted model, not a curated record
AGCCGCUAAGCAGGCAAAGUUGGCAAGGAAUGCGACCCGCUUUCGCGCUGCAGUUUAUGUUCACGGAAGCCAACGUGGAGGUUGGUACGAUUGCCGUCAGCGUGCACAUGGAACGACGUCGCCCACGCUCGUGUUAUCUACUCACGUUACCGCGGCAAGUGUCUUCGUAAGUGGGCCACAGCAUGCACUGCACUCGCCUGCCAUUGUCAACAAACAAUAGUGAAGGUAACACGGAUUGCAUUGGCUUGUUUUGUUCCGGCUGUUGAAGUAAACGUGUGUCGCUAAUCCUACCAUCAUCAUCAUCAUUAUUUAUUUUAUAUUUUAAGAAACGGAAGAAACACAACUCCGAAACCGGAACUUGAUGGCGGUUCUGAGCUGGGUUGAAAAACAAUGUGCGUUUCGCGUGUCGCGUGCGUCGACGACCUGCAAACCACCGUUACUAGAUUCUAGUAGCGGUGCUGCAAACUGUGCCCCUCGACUCUGCAACAGCGAGUUCGCUGUUCGCUUGACGUUCCAGUGUUCCGUAGCCAGCGGCUGUUUUAGUUCUGCAAGCAGCGUUGUGACAUUUUACCGUCGGUGGUGACUGCUUUCGUUCUCCGAUCUUGGGCAUACGUUUUCGAGAGAGCCCACUUACCCGCAAAACUUUCCGGUGGUGGUGUUGCUCACAUUUACUUCUAAUGCCGCUGCUAAAGCCGUGUUGCUCACACACAUUCGUUUCGCGAGUGAAGUUCACUGCAACUUGAAGUGGUUCGGCGACAAAAACCGCCGCACGCGUCUCUGCGGCCGUUCUCCACGGCGGAUGACUUGUUGGCGAGACGAACUGCAGAUGAUCGGUAGAAGACACAGGCCAGCGAUACUUUGCGCUUUUUUCUUCGGUUCUUCCUGUUCGUGUGCAGCUAUGCAAUGUUUGUGUGCAAUCACGAGCAAGAAUUUGGAGACUACCGGUGCCGCGAAAGAAAUUCUUUAGGUGGACAUGUUUUGUAAUCUCGAUCCAUAUGCAACCCAAAACAGAGUUACACGUAUCCCGACCAGCGCACGGCGUGUUAGCUGCACGACCACGGCGCAGAAAAAAAAAAAAAAAAAUAUAGCUGACGCCGCGUUUGCACGUCUCCAAAUAUUUGCUCCGUGGUUCAGCAGCUUCACAUGGGUGGACCCGUCAUCUGCGUGACCCGGAGAAUAAUCCAUUGGCAAGUGGUUCGGGGGAAGAAAAUAACCACUCACAGCUAGGUCACUUUGAAUCGUAUAUGUGUGACAAAUUGGGCUUGUUAAUUGUUAUAUAUGCCGUUUAUAGCAGCUAAUGGGAUGAAAGAAUGUAGUUUUGUGUUUUCACAGUGAAAUCAUAUACAUAAAUAUGGGUGAUGGUGAAGCAACAUAUUCAAACGUAAUGCAGCUGCCUACAGCAUGAAUGCAUGCUCCACAGCCAGACAGAAAAUGGUAAAUGCAGCAAAACCUUUAUAUCUAUAUUUUAAGAAACGGAAGAAACACAACUCCGAAACCGGAACUUGAUGGCGGUCCUGAGCUGCGUUUCGCGUGUCGCGUGCGUCGCCGACCUGCAAACCACCGUUACUAGAUUCUAGUAGCGGUGCUGCAAACUGUGCCCCUCGACUCUGCGACAGCGAGUUCGCUUGACGUUCCAGUGUUCCGUUUCGCCGGUGCCAAAUUUCCGGGUGCGGCUGUUUUAGCACGUCGCUGCUCUAGCUUAUUCUUUUUGUCAGGUGCACCAAGUUGAUAAGGGAGAGCCAGAAUUACUUCAUUAUGUCCAUUAUUGCAUGUAUUGUGAUAUUAUUUGCCCUGAGGGUUUCGAGGGGCAUUUCACUUACUACUUUAUAUAUAUUGAUUCAUUAUAACGAGGUUUUGACUAGACUGCUAUGACAAGUGUACAGUUAAGAAGGCAUUCAAAGUCUCAUAUAGUGCGAAAAUAUUAACUAUAUACCCUUACUCUGUUCAAUUAAACCCUCAUUAGCCUAAGUGUACUUCCAGAGAUGCCUCUUUCCACAGAUAAUUCUAAAAUUCACAUUAUUACUGUGGUAAAAUGUGAUUAAAUGUGCAUGUUUCCAUACCUACAGCACUCAGCUGACUGCCUAGAGUUCCACAUCAGUAGGAUGCCAAGUCUACCCCGAGAGCUCCAUGCCACCUUUAUUUUGGGUCUAAUAUGUAUAUGUUCAAGCUUUCAUUUUAUUCAACAUGAAACUCUGCAUGUGAAUAUGUGCAUUGUUUGGCCAGCCUAGUGUCAUUGCCACAUGCUUCUUGAAUGGCACCAAAUGCAACCAGCUCGAGAUUGCCACUUCGUGGAACCGGAUCGGCUCCAGCCUUUACAGUGCAGAAAAUAUGUAUAAAACUGAAUCAAGGUAGUAAAUUGGUGAAAUAUUGUAAAACGUGUCAAGGAACAAAAUGUACAGGCCAAGGAACUGUACAUCCCAGAAGUACUUUGUUGUGAACUAGUUAGACUCAUGCUGAAUGUAGUAACGUAGUGCAUUCUGUCCUGUCUUUCUCUCCACCAUUCGUAUUUUGCACAGUAUGUUACUUGUUGACAACUAGACGUGUUCUUCUUGCUUUUUUACUCCAACCUGACCUUUAAGGAGGCCCAUGCACCAAUGUGUGCACGAGUGCCUAUCAUUCAGGGCUUUGUUUUUCAGCAAAGUUUAAUUCAUUGCAACCUUGUACGACAAAUAAGAGGAAUAAAUGUUCAAGCCAGAGGCUUAGGUGAUGUGUGAUAUAUAGUUUAUUAUUUCUUUUGCACCUUUCAUAUUGCUUCUUAGGCACAGAAGUGUACAAAACCUUGUUUAAUAUAUUAGAUAUAGACCAGUGCCUUGUAACUACCAAAAAUAUAUUUCUUUUAUUUAACACAUGGCAGGAGCCAUAUGAUCCUCAACUUCUUGGAGUACCUGUCCACGUUUUUCCCACACCUUGUAUGGCGCGGUGCCAAAUUUCCGGGUGCAGCUGUUUUAGCACGUCGCUGCUCUAGCUUAUUCUUUUGUCAGGUGCACCAGCCUCUAGCGUAAAAAAAUGCAGUGAACAUUGUGUUUGUGUUUGAGGGCCGUUGCAUUAGUUUUUUAGAGGUGGGUGAACUGUGACUUUGCCAUUCGGCACUUUGUCCCUUUGUUUGCGGGUCAUACCGGCAGCACCAACUUCAGCAGUUAUGCUUUGCGCAGAAUGACAUCUGGCCCUUUUCCAAAAGUAUAGCGGCACUUGCUUUAGUUCCUCUCUCUUCCUAUUUGCAGUAGGCAAGUUUUGUAUUCUGGUGGCAAACAUUGCUGUUCAAUUUAAGAUCUAUCAUGUGCACAGCAGCACGGUGACUUUCUUGCCUUGUCCGUUUCACACAUGUGCAGCGGUGUGUUGAGGGGCGGCCAGCUCUAAGGUCGCCUUGCACUAAAUCUCUGCCCUCCAAUGCAAAGGCAUGGCUUCUUAAUAAUGCUCUGUCACUAUACUUUUGCAGAAUCAUGUUCCAUGUCUCACCAGGGGUUUUCCCUAGCCUAACACAGAAAUCAAUCCUCUCUGCUCGGAGUUUGUGUCGAUCAUGUCACUCGUGUAACAUCCAACUAAGUGCACCAAUGAACCAAACAGCUGUUGAAUUGAACUGGUUCAGCUGUGUUGCUAAGCAUCGCUUUGUCCCUGACGAGUUUACACGGAAACCCUUCCAAGGCUAUGUCUGCUUUGAGCACUUAUAAAGCAGCCCAAUAACACCCAUUUCCGGAGUUCUAAAAAAUGAGUCUUCAAAUUUUCUGACAAAGGAUAUAUAAAGAAGUCAUUCAAGAUCGAGCUCUAAAUAUGUGAGCUGUGGUUGCCAUUGAGAGAAUAAAAGAAAUGAGAUAGUGGAGGAAAAGGUUUAGUUGGGAACGGCUUCAACCUUAUAAUCCCAACAAAAAAAUUGUAAACUACGCUACAGUGUGACUGAAUGAAAUAAAAAUUAGGGUUAUCCAUGAACUUGGUCCUUCACUUUCUUCUUUUAGUGCCUAGGUGUGCUUGUUAGUAGAUUGUUGUGCUUUUUGAAGUUCUCUCCUGUACACAUGAUGCAUUUUGCUUUUCUUUUCAGAUUGCUACUCUUGGCUGCACAGUGGUCACCUUCCAACACUACAUAAAAUUGUUUCAUUGUAUUUUUACACAGCCACACAUUUUGUAAUCAAUGAGCCUAUGUUCCUGGAAGUGUGCCCAAUUGCCAGUCAUAUCUGGCUGACCUCGCAUGAGGUUUAAUAACCUACAGGAUAACCAAAGUCACAAUGUGUUUUGGCUGCUAGCUGGUGUUUCUGACUGAAAGAUGAACUUUUAGUGGGAAAGCAUGGCAUUAUAUUUUUUAAGCAUUCACUGGGACUAGUACUGUUAUGUCUGCCUUGUAAAUGUGAUUGGGCUUGCCAUGUUUUCUAGUGAUUCAAGUUAAAACAUAAGUUUGUAACAUUGGUAUGUGAAGUGCAACAGAGCUCUUACAUUCCUUGUCUACUUUGUUAGUGAGAGCUUACUUGCAGAUGUGGUGGUGUGUUGUUUCUUCAACAAAGGCUAAACAGAAAGAACAUUAUGCAAAAUGGUGUCAUGAAAAGUCUACUCGUAUGAACAGACAUGAACAAGUGCCUCGCCAACUGAUGGUUUAUUAAAAAACAUGGGACUCAAUCACAAUAGCUGUUUGGCAGCUAAGUGGGUUUCAGAAAGGAAACUAGUUUACAUAAUGUCGAACAGGCAGAUUUUUUUUUUUAACAGCACAACACAGGAUGAAGGUUAGGGGCACAAGACAGACUUGCCUGUGCCCCAUCUCUUCGUCCUGUAAAACAUCUGCUGUGCGACAAGAUGUACCAAGAGCUCAAAUGAACAGACUGCUAGUUUAAAUAAUAUUUUGCUUUCCUGUCCCCACCUUUCUUCCUUUCAAAUGCAGAUUGUUUUGGUAGAGGUCUUAGUGAUCAUGCUACUGGCAUUGGUUAAAGAUGUUCACUGCAGAACAGUCUUUAUUUUUACCUGAGAAAUGUUUGUAAAUCUACUGAGCAUGUGCUGGUGGGCUAGUUGGUUAAGCAUAAUUACAAAGACGGCGCCGAACAAAACAACACACGAAGAAAGGAGACACGAGACAAGCACGUAGGCACUUACGUGCUUGUCUCGUGUCUCCUUUCUUCGUGUGUUGUUUUAACGGCACCGUCUUUGUAAUCAUUGUAAAUAUAAAUGAACGUGUGACAGUCCUUGUCUGCACCCCUGUGAUGCUGCCCAUAGCAUCAUAUAUGUUAUGCUGUUUUGAAAGCUCGGAAUUCUGAUUUAAGUACAGGAACCUAAUGCACAGUCUAUAGUAGCAUUUCUGAUACACUUCAAAAAGUUUUCAAUUGUGGAUAGUUCAACAGACCAAUUACUCAUUAUUUACCCUACUAAUUAAGUUAUAGCUCUGGUAACAUUUCGUUGUUGUUUUGUCUGCAAAUAUACUCUUCAUGGCCACAAAUAAAAGUGUAUGAGUUGUCACAUUUUUCAUUGAGGUGUGCCUGGGCAUUACAGCAGUGUUUAAUGGCUCGGUGCCAUGUGGAGCACUACACCCAAAAUCAUUCAUCAUGGUGCACGUUCACAAGACUAACUGCAGGUUCCUGGUCCCGACGACUGUGGGAUGCCCUUCUGUUGGACCUCGAUGGACGAGCUGCAGAUGGGCCAGGCUUCCCGUGGAAGAGUGUUGCCCAGAAGAGAAGCCUCGGAGAGCAGUGGCCGAUUCUCGUGCCAGUUCUGUCCGUACGUCUCAAACAAUGCUGCCAAUCUCCAGAGGCACGUCCGAGUGCACACUGGAGAGAAGCCGUUCAAGUGCAGGCACUGCCCGGCUGCAUUCUCACAGAGUGGGAAUUACAAGCGCCACCUGCGCAACCACGGCACCGAAGAACAAUUCAAGUGCCGUCCGCGGCCAACGGUACCUUCUCGGAGCGCUGCCUUGGUGCGCGCCAUGUCCACUUCAGAAGGACACAGAUGAAGAAAACUUGAGCCCAUACUUGUGUUCCAGAAAUUACUUCUUGAGAACUUGCUCCUUGACCCACAUAUUUCACAGAGCUCACAAAUGCAACCACUGCUCGUGUGUUACCACCCACAAGAGCCCUCUGUUACACUGCAUGGCUAUGCACAAAGACUUGAAACUUGUGCUGUUACCAGAGCCAAGCACAGAAAUGAAGUCAGCAGGUACUAAUUGCGACGCGUAACAGAGCGUACCACAAGGGACAGUGAAAGUGUGGUUUGCGCUGUCAACUUUUCUGUGAAGAAGCACCAGUUUGCCCUGUUAACAAUGCUACUAUAUACUAGUCAGGCAGAGAAUACCUUGAAUAUUUUUUUUUUCUCGAAAAAAAAAAAAUGCCAGAGAACAUGAAAAGCUCACUACGUUCUAUUUCAAAUAAAAAGUGGCAUCUUGUCA